Molecule: ribosomal RNA, 441 nt
Filed under: uncultured bacterium
Lineage: Bacteria
Description: partial 16S ribosomal RNA
Rfam family: Bacterial small subunit ribosomal RNA
Source: RNAcentral
CCUACGGGUGGCAGCAGUGGGGAAUCUUGCACAAUGGGGGAAACCCUGAUGCAGCAACGCCGCGUGAAUGAAGACGGUUUUCGGAUUGUAAACCUCUGUUCUUAGUGAAGAAUAAUGACGGUAGCAAAGGAUCAAGCCACGGCUAACUACGUGCCAGCAGCCGCGGUAAUACGUAGGUGGCAAGCGUUGUCCGGAAUUACUGGGCGUAAAGGGAGCGCAGGCGGGAAGCCAAGUCAGCUGUGAAAACUACCGGCUUAACUUGUAGAGUUCAGUUGAAACUGGUUUACUUGAGUGAAGUAGAGGAGAGCGGAAUUCCGUGUGUAGCGGUGAAAUGCGUAGAUAUUCGGAGGAACACCGGUGGCGAAGGCGACCAACUGGGCUUUAACUGACGCUGAGGCUCGAAAGUGUGGGGAGCAAACAGGAUUAGAUACCCCAGUAGUC